This 707-nucleotide ribosomal RNA is filed under the name uncultured bacterium. RNAcentral's name for it is "bacterial SSU rRNA". It matches the Rfam family "Bacterial small subunit ribosomal RNA", at positions 99 to 819 of the family's 1533-position model. The record is from RNAcentral.
CGGACGGGUGAGUAACACGUGGGUAAUCUGCCCUCGAGCGGGGAAUAACCAGUCGAAAGAUUGGCUAAUACCGCAUAAGACCACAGUCUCUGCGGAGAAAGGGGUCAAAGGCUUCGGCCACUCGAGGAUGAGCCUGCGCCCGAUUAGUUAGUUGGUGAGGUAAUGGCUCACCAAGACGAUGAUCGGUAGCUGGUCUGAGAGGAUGAUCAGCCACAUUGGGACUGAGACACGGCCCAAACUCCUACGGGAGGCAGCAGUAGGGAAUAUUGCGCAAUGGAGGAAACUCUGACGCAGCGACGCCGCGUGAGUGAUGAAGGCUUUCGGGUUGUAAAGCUCUGUUCUCAGGGAAAAAGAAAGUGAUGGUACCUGAGAAGAAAGGACCGGCUAACUUCGUGCCAGCAGCCGCGGUAAGACGGGGGGUCCAAGCGUUGCUCGGAAUCAUUGGGCGUAAAGGGGGCGUAGGUGGCUUUGUAAGUCAGAAGUGAAAGCCCUGGGCUCAACCCGGGAAGUGCUUUUGAUACUGCGAAGCUUGAAUGUGGUAGAGGAUAGUAGAAUUCCAGGUGUAGUGGUGAAAUACGUAGAUAUCUGGAGGAAUACCUGUGGCGAAGGCGGCUAUCUGGACCAACAUUGACACUGAGGCCCGAAAGCGUGGGGAUCAAACAGGAUUAGAUACCCUGGUAGUCCACGCCGUANACGAUGGAUACUUG